Molecule: ribosomal RNA, 402 nt
Filed under: Triticum aestivum (bread wheat)
Lineage: Eukaryota; Viridiplantae; Streptophyta; Magnoliopsida; Poales; Poaceae
Description: partial small subunit ribosomal RNA
Source: RNAcentral
AUGGAUCGCGCCGCCGCCGCCACCGCGGCCUUCUCUCGGGUCAGGCCGCUUGGGUCCGGCAAGCUGACGAUGGAUCCUCCCGCUUGCGCCUUCCCCGGGAGACGUCCGCCUCAGCUGCGGGGCCAGGGAAGAAGCGUCGUUAAGGACCAUGACCUGGCCGCCGGUGCCUUCCACCGGGGCGCUAGGUGGCUGCAGCGUGGGGGCGAUCGCCCCGCUGCGGCCUUCCCUCUGAGGUGGCGGCGAUCUCUCCGUCAGCUGGUCGGGCAGGACCGACACAGACUGUACCAGCUGAACCAGCUGGGGGAGGAAAGCGGGUGGAGCGGUGGACGCCAUUGCUGCGCGUGGCCGUCGAGGCAGUUCACUGUUCACCGUCUCGGUGAUCGCGGUCGAGAGCGAGAGUAG